Molecule: ribosomal RNA, 624 nt
Filed under: Oxalobacteraceae bacterium Se2Ps_2445
Lineage: Bacteria; Pseudomonadati; Pseudomonadota; Betaproteobacteria; Burkholderiales; Oxalobacteraceae
Description: bacterial SSU rRNA
Rfam family: Bacterial small subunit ribosomal RNA
Source: RNAcentral
GCAAUGCCGCGUGAGUGAAGAAGGCCUUCGGGUUGUAAAGCUCUUUUGUCAGGGAAGAAAAGGCUACGGAUAAUACCUGUGGCUCAUGACGGUACCUGAAGAAUAAGCACCGGCUAACUACGUGCCAGCAGCCGCGGUAAUACGUAGGGUGCAAGCGUUAAUCGGAAUUACUGGGCGUAAAGCGUGCGCAGGCGGUUUUGUAAGACUGUCGUGAAAUCCCCGGGCUCAACCUGGGAAUGGCGAUGGUGACUGCAAGGCUAGAGUUUGGCAGAGGGGGGUAGAAUUCCACGUGUAGCAGUGAAAUGCGUAGAUAUGUGGAGGAACACCGAUGGCGAAGGCAGCCCCCUGGGUCAAAACUGACGCUCAUGCACGAAAGCGUGGGGAGCAAACAGGAUUAGAUACCCUGGUAGUCCACGCCCUAAACGAUGUCUACUAGUUGUCGGGUCUUAAUUGACUUGGUAACGCAGCUAACGCGUGAAGUAGACCGCCUGGGGAGUACGGUCGCAAGAUUAAAACUCAAAGGAAUUGACGGGGACCCGCACAAGCGGUGGAUGAUGUGGAUUAAUUCGAUGCAACGCGAAAAACCUUACCUACCCUUGACAUGGAUGGAAUCCCUGAGAGAUU